This is a long non-coding RNA of Corticium candelabrum, 458 nucleotides long. RefSeq lists it as uncharacterized. The transcript is spliced from 2 exons. The record is from RefSeq and is a predicted model, not a curated record. NCBI's taxonomy places the organism in Eukaryota, Metazoa, Porifera, Homoscleromorpha, Homosclerophorida, Plakinidae.
UCAUCGCCCCAACUCAUUGUCUACUGAUAACGCAGAUAGCGCACCAUACAGAUCUUGACUUCGUUUUUGAUUCGUUUUGUGUAGUGAAUGGCUCUGAUCGAGCGAACGGUCGUGUUUAUUGGUAGAACGGGUGCUGGAAAGUCGACGUGGUGUGCCAACGAUGUUGGUCCAGAAAGCGACCAAUCUGUGAGCGAAACAAAGUUCAUCGAAACUCGAACAGUCAACAUGGAGCAAAUAGCAAAUAUCGUGUCAAAGAGUAGAUACAGUUGGGAUCGGUGAUACAGACCUUGGAGAAGACGAAGUAGUCAAGCGUUUGGCUAGCGCUUGUGACGAAUGUCGCAAAGGUCGUGUUUUUCGUCACUGGAGGAAGGAUUACUCAAGAAGAAGCAGACGCGUGGGAUGUCAUUUGGAAGUUUUAGAUCCCGACGUUGUAAAGAGCAAUUGUGAUAGGUUCAAAA